Molecule: ribosomal RNA, 497 nt
Filed under: uncultured bacterium
Lineage: Bacteria
Description: partial 16S ribosomal RNA
Rfam family: Bacterial small subunit ribosomal RNA
Source: RNAcentral
GAUGAACGCUGGCGGCGUGCCUAAUACAUGCAAGUCGAGCGAACAGAUGAGGAGCUUGCUCCUCUGACGUUAGCGGCGGACGGGUGAGUAACACGUGGAUAACCUACCUAUAAGACUGGGAUAACUUCGGGAAACCGGAGCUAAUACCGGAUAAUAUAUUGAACCGCAUGGUUCAAUAGUGAAAGACGGUUUUGCUGUCACUUAUAGAUGGAUCCGCGCCGCAUUAGCUAGUUGGUAAGGUAACGGCUUACCAAGGCAACGAUGCGUAGCCGACCUGAGAGGGUGGUCGGCCACACGGGAACUGAGACACGGUCCAGACUCCUACGGGAGGCAGCAGUAGGGAAUCGUCCGCAAUGGGCGAAAGCCUGACGGAGCAACGCCGCGUGAGUGAUGAAGGUCUUCGGAUCGUAAAACUCUGUUAUUAGGGAAGAACAAAUGUGUAAGUAACUAUGCACGUCUUGACGGUACCUAAUCAGAAAGCCACGGCUAACUACGUG